This 490-nucleotide ribosomal RNA is filed under the name uncultured bacterium. RNAcentral describes it as "partial 16S ribosomal RNA". It matches the Rfam family "Bacterial small subunit ribosomal RNA", at positions 28 to 507 of the family's 1533-position model. The record is from RNAcentral.
GAUGAACGCUAGCGGCAGGCCUAAUACAUGCAAGUCGAACGGGAUCCAGAUCAAAGCUUGCUUUGGUCUGGUGAGAGUGGCGCACGGGUGCGUAACGCGUGAGCAACCUACCCUUGUCAGGGGGAUAGCCCGGCGAAAGUCGGAUUAAUACCGCAUGACAUCAUUGAGAGGCAUCUUUCGAUGAUCAAAGAUUUAUCGGACAAGGAUGGGCUCGCGUGACAUUAGCUAGUUGGUAAGGUAACGGCUUACCAAGGCUGCGAUGUCCAGGGGCUCUGAGAGGAGAAUCCCCCACACUGGUACUGAGACACGGACCAGACUCCUACGGGAGGCAGCAGUAAGGAAGAUUGGUCAAUGGACGGAAGUCUGAACCAGCCAUGCCGCGUGCAGGAAGACGGCCCUAGGGGUUGUAAACUGCUUUUAUACGGGAACAAACGUCGGUACGUGUACCGGUCUGAGUGUACCGUAAGAAUAAGGAUCGGCUAACUCCGUG